RNAcentral lists this non-coding RNA (101 nucleotides) under Bacillus sp. (in: firmicutes). RNAcentral describes it as "Bacillus sp. SAM-I sequence". It matches the Rfam family "SAM riboswitch aptamer (S box leader)". Rfam says of the family: The SAM riboswitch is found upstream of a number of genes which code for proteins involved in methionine or cysteine biosynthesis in Gram-positive bacteria. The record is from RNAcentral. Lineage: Bacteria; Bacillati; Bacillota; Bacilli; Caryophanales; Bacillaceae.
UUCUUAUCGAGAGAAGCAGAGGGACCUGGCCCAAUGAAGCUUCGGCAGCAGGCAGACUGCACUGUGCCAAAUCCAGCAGGCGAUAGCCUGAAAGAUAAGGA